UAGGAUAGGGUGUACUGGUAGCACGAGGAAUUUUGAAUUCUUAAGUAUAGGUUCGAUGCCUAUUGUCCUAG
This 71-nucleotide transfer RNA is filed under the name Mus saxicola (spiny mouse). Its description in RNAcentral is "tRNA-Gln". It matches the Rfam family "tRNA". From Rfam's summary of the family: Transfer RNA (tRNA) molecules are approximately 80 nucleotides in length. Their secondary structure includes four short double-helical elements and three loops (D, anti-codon, and T loops). The record is from RNAcentral. Lineage: Eukaryota; Metazoa; Chordata; Mammalia; Rodentia; Muridae.